Molecule: transfer RNA, 87 nt
Filed under: Prevotellaceae bacterium
Lineage: Bacteria; Pseudomonadati; Bacteroidota; Bacteroidia; Bacteroidales; Prevotellaceae
Description: tRNA-Leu
Rfam family: tRNA
About the family: Transfer RNA (tRNA) molecules are approximately 80 nucleotides in length. Their secondary structure includes four short double-helical elements and three loops (D, anti-codon, and T loops).
Source: RNAcentral
GCCCAGAUGGCGGAAUUGGUAGACGCACUAGUUUCAGGUACUAGCGGUCGAAAGAUUGUGCAGGUUCGAGUCCUGUUCUGGGCACCA